Molecule: ribosomal RNA, 501 nt
Filed under: uncultured bacterium
Lineage: Bacteria
Description: partial 16S ribosomal RNA
Rfam family: Bacterial small subunit ribosomal RNA
Source: RNAcentral
ACUCAAAUGAAUUGACGGGGGCCCGCACAAGCGGUGGAGCAUGUUGUUUAAUACGUCACUAACCGUAGAACCUUACCAGGGCUUGACAUCUAGCGCACCGGGGUGAAAGCCUCGUUCCCCUCUGGGGACGCUAAGACAGGUGUUGCAUGGCUGUCGUCAGCUCGUGUCGUGAGAUGUUGGGUUAAGUCCCGCAACGAGCGCAACCCUCACCCCAUGUUGCUAACGGGCAAAGCCGAGAACUCUUGGGGAACUGCCGGGGUAACUCGGAGGAAGGUGGGGAUGAUGUCAAGUCAGCAUGGCCCUUACGCCCUGGGCUACAAACAUGCUACAAUGGAGGGUAGACAGACCGACCCGAAGCCGCGAGGUGGAGGCAAUCGGGCAAAUCCGUCCUCAGUUCGGAUCGCAGGCUGCAACUCGCCUGCGUGAAGUCGGAAUCGCUAGUAACCGCCGGUCAGCCAAACGGCGGUGAAUACGUUCCCGGGCCUUGUACACACCGCCCGU